CGUAACGCGUAUGGAACCUGCCCUUAUCUGGGGGAUAACUCGGGGAAACUCGAGCUAAUACCGCAUAAGAUAGUAGAGUGGCAUCACUCAGCUAUUAAAGAUUUAUCGGAUAAGGAUGGCCAUGCGUAAGAUUAGAUAGUUGGCGAGGUAACGGCUCACCAAGUCUACGAUCUUUAGGGGCUCUGAGAGGAGAAUCCCCCACACUGGCACUGAGAUACGGGCCAG
Molecule: ribosomal RNA, 225 nt
Filed under: uncultured bacterium
Lineage: Bacteria
Description: partial 16S ribosomal RNA
Rfam family: Bacterial small subunit ribosomal RNA
Source: RNAcentral